This 253-nucleotide ribosomal RNA is filed under the name uncultured bacterium. Its description in RNAcentral is "partial 16S ribosomal RNA". It matches the Rfam family "Bacterial small subunit ribosomal RNA", at positions 524 to 776 of the family's 1533-position model. The record is from RNAcentral.
UACGGAGGGGGCUAGCGUUGUUCGGAAUUACUGGGCGUAAAGCGCACGUAGGCGGCUUUGCAAGUUAGAGGUGAAAGCCCGGGGCUCAACUCCGGAAUUGCCUUUAAAACUGCAUCGCUAGAGUUGUGGAGAGGUAAGUGGAAUUCCGAGUGUAGAGGUGAAAUUCGUAGAUAUUCGCAAGAACACCAGUGGCGAAGGCGGCUCACUGGCCCGAUACUGACGCUGAGGCACGAAAGCGUGGGGAGCAAACAGG